Molecule: long non-coding RNA, 1614 nt
Organism: Astatotilapia calliptera (eastern happy)
Lineage: Eukaryota; Metazoa; Chordata; Actinopteri; Cichliformes; Cichlidae
Source: Ensembl
UAUUAGUUUGCCCACUCUCUCAUUGACGGUAAAACACAAGUGGAGGAGUACAACACUGAAAUCACAAAGCUCAGGUCCCGACUUUGCCACUACUUAUUUUCCUCAAUAGAUCGAACUAGGAAGUGCAGUCAGUGCUGGUGUGUGAUUGCAGCCAAAGACCGGGUGCAGUGCCAGAAAUGUGGUGCAUACAAGCACAUGCGUUGUUCAAAGUCUGUUUGUGGCAUCUGUAUCUUCUGUGAGAGUAAGUCACAAUAUAACUAAACAAUGUCCAAAAAUGUUUAAAGUGAAAAAAAUUUCGUAAUUUUGCCUUUGCACACCCGGACUGUGUAAUUAAAGUGGACGUUUCAAGAUCCAGUUUUUACACAAAACUAUUUUAGACAUAACUGUGUCGUAUUGUGGGGAUUUCUCUUCACAAUUAAAUUGAUAUAGUGCUGUUUAUAUCAUUCUUCUUUAUGUAACAGCACAGUGCAGCACAGCAGAGGGAAAGGAGUUGUGCAGCAUAGUAGGUGGCUAUACAGGAGGAGCAAUAGAAGUAGCCAGUGAAGAAUGUCAUCAGGGAAAGCAUCAGGCAGCGAAUGACAAAGGAAAAGUUCCUAAGGGAGAGAACAUCUGCAGCAAAUCGACAAGUAACAGUGAGAUAGGAGGACUGACAGUCAGAGAUGAAGGCACACAGACUGAAAGAGAUGAAGGUACACAGACUGAAGACAACGAAAAAGAAGCAGAAGUAUACGGCACAAGUCUGAGUACAGAUAAUGCUGCUGCUGAUGAUGUUGACAGGAUCGAUGCAGAUACAGAAUUCCAAACUGAUUCAGAAGGAACUAGUACAGUUUACAGAGUGCAUGGUCGCUUAUCUGUACCAAGCUCAAAAAAGAAAACCUACACAAUAACAGAAGACGAGAUCAAGCGCAGAAUCAACGCAGAGAACAUGUCAGUUCAUGUUUUCAGAGGUUUGAUUGGGGUAGGUAUACAUUUCGUGAUUUUGAUGUCACCUGAAAUAAAUCCGGGUUACUCGUAUCAAUGAAGUGACAAUGUGGCUGGAAAUUGUGCAUUUGCUGCAACAUAUACACAAUUACACCAUGUAAACAAAAGCAUUUAACUUUGUGCGCGUGUGUGUCUCUCUCUCUGCUCUUUUGGUGUUUGCACUUUUUCUUUUUUAGGGCUGUAAAGCCAAACUGCCCGCAAUGAUUCUUGACAGGCCUAAGAAGGCCAAAACUAAAGUAACAGUGUUUAGUGUUCUGAGUGAAGAGGAGGCUGGGGAGCUAGCCCUCGGGUUUGCCGGAAGAUUGGCCUGCGAUGUCACAACAGACAUGGUCUGUAAAGGCAUCGACCAUUCAAGUGCUGAUAUGACAAAACAGACUCUUCUCAAAAUCCAACACAAUCUUAAACAUGAGCUGACUGAUUCCUCAACCUUCAGUUUGCUGACAUACACCUUUGGCCCCGCUGCACUGGAUUCUGUCAUUUCAUUCCUGUGUGAAAAACUUGAUCUUGUCUCUUAAAUAAUGAAACCUUUUGUGACUUUUGUUUGUUCUGUAAAUCAGAAUCUUGAAAAUUGUUCAUUGUUGUUCUAAGUUUGUGUUAACUAUUUGGCAAAAAUGAUUGGUUCCUAAUCCAAAC